UAACAUGCAGUCGAACGGCAGCACGGGAGCAAUCCUGGUGGCGAGUGGCGAACGGGUGAGUAAUACAUCGGAACGUGUCCUGGAGUGGGGGAUAGCCCGGCGAAAGCCGGAUUAAUACCGCAUACGCUCUAUGGAGGAAAGCGGGGGAUCUUUCGGGACCUCGCGCUCAAGGGGCGGCCGAUGGCAGAUUAGCUAGUUGGUGGGGUAAAGGCCUACCAAGGCGACGAUCUGUAGCUGGUCUGAGAGGACGACCAGCCACACUGGGACUGAGACACGGCCCAGACUCCUACGGGAGGCAGCAGUGGGGAAUUUUGGACAAUGGGCGCAAGCCUGAUCCAGCAAUGCCGCGUGUGUGAAGAAGGCCUUCGGGUUGUAAAGCACUUUUGUCCGGAAAGAAAACCUCUGGGUUAAUACCCCGGGGGGAUGACGGUACCGGAAGAAUAAGCACCGGCUAACUACGUGCCAGCAGCCGCGGUAAUACGUAGGGUGCGAGCGUUAAUCGGAAUUACUGGGCGUAAAGCGUGCGCAGGCGGUUCGUUAAGACAGAUGUGAAAUCCCCGGGCUUAACCUGGGAACUGCAUUUGUGACUGGCGGGCUAGAGUAUGGCAGAGGGGGGUAGAAUUCCACGUGUAGCAGUGAAAUGCGUAGAGAUGUGGAGGAAUACCGAUGGCGAAGGCAGCCCCCUGGGCCAAUACUGACGCUCAUGCACGAAAGCGUGGGGAGCAAACAGGAUUAGAUACCCUGGUAGUCCACGCCCUAAACGAUGUCAACUAGUUGUUGGGGAUUCAUUUCCUUAGUAACGUAGCUAACGCGUGAAGUUGACCGCCUGGGGAGUACGGUCGCAAGAUUAAAACUCAAGAGA
This 862-nucleotide ribosomal RNA is filed under the name bacterium E4R15Baut. RNAcentral describes it as "bacterial SSU rRNA". It matches the Rfam family "Bacterial small subunit ribosomal RNA", at positions 51 to 908 of the family's 1533-position model. The record is from RNAcentral.